This 486-nucleotide ribosomal RNA is filed under the name uncultured bacterium. Its description in RNAcentral is "bacterial SSU rRNA". It matches the Rfam family "Bacterial small subunit ribosomal RNA", at positions 899 to 1397 of the family's 1533-position model. The record is from RNAcentral.
ACUCAAAGGAAUAGACGGGUCCCCGCACAAGCAGCGGAGCGUGUGGUUUAAUUCGUUGCUACACGAAGAACCUUACCUGGGUUUGACAUAAAGGUGGUAGGGAGCCGAAAGGUGACCGACCCUUCGGGGAGCCUUUACAGGUGUUGCAUGGCUGUCGUCAGCUCGUGUCGUGAGAUGUUCGGUUAAGUCCGCUAACGAGCGCAACCCUCGCUGUGUGUUACAAGUGUCACACAGGACUGCCGGUAUUAAGCCGGAGGAAGGUGAGGAUGAUGUCAAGUCAGCAUGACCUUUAUAUCCAGGGCUACACACACGCUACAAUGGUCUGUACAAUAGGUUGCCAAGCCGCGAGGCGGAGCCAAUCCUAAAAAGCAGGCCUCAGUUCAGAUUGCAGUCUGCAACUCGACUGCAUGAAGUUGGAGUUGCUAGUAACCGCAGGUCAGCUAUACUGCGGUGAAUACGUUCCCGGGGAUUGUACACACCGCCCGU